Molecule: ribosomal RNA, 565 nt
Filed under: uncultured Alphaproteobacteria bacterium
Lineage: Bacteria; Pseudomonadati; Pseudomonadota; Alphaproteobacteria
Description: bacterial SSU rRNA
Rfam family: Bacterial small subunit ribosomal RNA
Source: RNAcentral
AUGCAAGUCGAGCGCUCUCUUCGGAGGGAGCGGCAGACGGGUGAGUAACGCGUGGGAACCUGCCCAGGGGUACGGAAUAACUCAGGGAAACUUGUGCUAAUACCGUAUACGUCCCCCGGGAGAAAGAUUUAUCGCCCUUGGAUGGGCCCGCGUAAGAUUAGCUAGUUGGUGGGGUAAAGGCCUACCAAGGCUACGAUCUUUAGCUGUUCUGAGAGGAAGAUCAGCCACACUGGGACUGAGACACGGCCCAGACUCCUACGGGAGGCAGCAGUGGGGAAUCUUGCACAAUGGGCGCAAGCCUGAUGCAGCCAUGCCGCGUGAGUGAUGAAGGCCCUAGGGUUGUAAAGCUCUUUCACCGGUGACGAUAAUGACGGUAGCCGGAGAAGAAGCCCCGGCUAACUUCGUGCCAGCAGCCGCGGUAAUACGAAGGGGGCUAGCGUUGUUCGGAAUUACUGGGCGUAAAGCGCACGUAGGCGGAUAAUUAAGUUAGAGGUGAAAGCCCGGAGCUCAGCUCCGGAACUGCCUUUGAUACUGGUUAUCUUGAGGUCGGGAGAGGAGAGUGGAA